CACGUAGGGCGCGAGCGUUGUCCGGAAUUAUUGGGCGUAAAGGGUGCGUAGGCGGCAUGGUAAGUCAGAGGUGAAAUCCCGGAGCUCAACUUCGGAAUUGCCUCCGAUACUGCCAUGCUUGAGGACUGGAGAGGAGAUUGGAAUUCACAGUGGAGCAGUGAAAUGCGUAGAUAUUGUGAGGAACACGAGUGGCGAAGGCGAAUCUCUGGACAGUUCCUGACGCUGAGGCACGAAGGCCAGGGGAGCAAACGGG
Molecule: ribosomal RNA, 253 nt
Filed under: uncultured bacterium
Lineage: Bacteria
Description: partial 16S ribosomal RNA
Rfam family: Bacterial small subunit ribosomal RNA
Source: RNAcentral